RNAcentral lists this small nucleolar RNA (154 nucleotides) under Otolemur garnettii (small-eared galago). Its description in RNAcentral is "Small nucleolar RNA U3 (ENSOGAG00000023344.1)". It matches the Rfam family "Small nucleolar RNA U3". From Rfam's summary of the family: Small nucleolar RNAs (snoRNAs) are involved in the processing and modification of rRNA in the nucleolus. There are two main classes of snoRNAs: the box C/D class, and the box H/ACA class. U3 snoRNA is a member of the box C/D class. The record is from RNAcentral. Lineage: Eukaryota; Metazoa; Chordata; Mammalia; Primates; Galagidae.
GAGACUAUACUUUCAGGGAGCAUUUCUGUCAUUAUUAGAGAAGUUUCUGUGAACAUGUAAAGCAACAAAAGCCACAAGGAAGUGGCACGGUGUUGUCAUUGAUUAUCAUUCUUCCAUCAGGAGAAGAGAGAGGGAGAGAAUGGAGUCCAAGUGG